This 310-nucleotide long non-coding RNA is filed under the name Cinara cedri. Lineage: Eukaryota; Metazoa; Arthropoda; Insecta; Hemiptera; Aphididae. The record is from RNAcentral.
CUAGAUUUCUAUGUCCAAGGCCCUUAUCCAUUCACAUGCUUCCUUCGUAACUUCAUUAAUUCCAUUAAUGCCCGACGCGAGCCUUCUAUUCGGACAUUCGUCUGUAAUAUAUCUCAUAGUCUUACUGUCAUUUCCAUAAUCACAUUCUGGGGGUGUCCUUUAAUUUCCACUUGAACAUCAUAUGUCCACAUCUUCCAUGUCCAGUUCUUAAUCGGUUAAGGAUUACCCAUUCUUGUCGUGGAAGUUCGAACCCUUUAAAUCUUUGUGUGGGAUUAUUUAUCAAAUUUGUAUGUAAUACCUUAUUGUCCAG